Patiria miniata (bat star) is the source of this 1104-nucleotide long non-coding RNA. RefSeq lists it as uncharacterized. The transcript is spliced from 2 exons. The record is from RefSeq and is a predicted model, not a curated record. NCBI's taxonomy places the organism in Eukaryota, Metazoa, Echinodermata, Asteroidea, Valvatida, Asterinidae.
AAUAUUUAAUGUACAUGUACACCAGAUUAAGAUUGAAGAUGAGAACAUAUUUUUAUGCAUUUGCUCGCUGUAUAUAAAUGUACAAGUAUUGUAAAGACAACCCACUAGACUUCUGCAAAUAAUAUUGCAAGAUUACAUGUAUUUCCUGAUGACUAUUUUUGUAAUUCCAUUAAAGUGAUAAGUUUAAUUUAUAGUUUGAUGUUGCAUGAAUUGCUGCCCCCUCAUGAGUGGUUAAUGUCGAUUUGCGUAGAGUGGUGAAAUGUCAAGUUACAUGUUGGACGGUGAUAGUGAUUUUGAAUCGGCGAUCAUACUGUGUAAGACUAUUAUAAUUGUAUUAAUUUCUGCGGUUAUAUUGUAUAAGAUUAAUGAUUGUAUAAGUCUCGUGGUUAUAGUGGAUAAUGGUAAUUUAUGAUUGUAUAGACACUUGUGGUUAUGAUGUAUAAUAUAAUUGUAUGUCUUGGUUGAAUGUCAUUCAAGGGGGGAGUGUUAUCGUCGCUGAUAAGUUUUUUUUCUUAUUGAUAAGUUAACCAAUGUAAUUUGAAUGGAACGUUCAUCGUCUGGUUCUUUUAUGUGGCUUAAUUUACAAUUCAGAUUGACUUAAUUUGAAUAGUAUGUCUUCCAUGUGUUCUUUUGUCGUCUUAAUAUAUUAUUAUUCAUCUUUGCCUAAUUUGCAUGGAAUGUCGUGUCACAUGGCAUUGCUCCACCAAUGGCAUGGCAGAAUACGCUUAUCACGUGUAGUAUGGCUAUUUAAGCGUGGGAAUUUCCAAUACGCUUCAGUCUUCGUCACGUCGCCGAAAGCUGUGAAGACUCACCAGAAUGCCGCUGUGAACCCAGAAAACCCCUGUAUACUCCAGUAAACUACAUUACAUACAUUCCUGAUACCCAUCCAUUGUGUGUAGCGACGGGUGUUGGCCCCGCAUACGAUUUGUGAGUUAUAUUCAAAUCUAAUUGCUAAGUUAUAGGCUAACUGUAAACUUUAUGAAGAUGCUGUAUCUAUCUCAACCUGUGAAACUCUAAACACUGUGCUCUAAUUAACUUUCAUUUAUUGUGAACAUAUUGUUUAAUUGUCACUGUGUUUAAAUAUUGUACUUUGGUGUGUAAUUG